RNAcentral lists this ribosomal RNA (465 nucleotides) under Vreelandella stevensii. RNAcentral describes it as "partial 16S ribosomal RNA". It matches the Rfam family "Bacterial small subunit ribosomal RNA", at positions 338 to 795 of the family's 1533-position model. The record is from RNAcentral. Lineage: Bacteria; Pseudomonadati; Pseudomonadota; Gammaproteobacteria; Oceanospirillales; Halomonadaceae.
CCUACGGGUGGCUGCAGUGGGGAAUAUUGGACAAUGGGCGAAAGCCUGAUCCAGCCAUGCCGCGUGUGUGAAGAAGGCCUUCGGGUUGUAAAGCACUUUCAGUGGGGAAGAAAGCCUUGGGGCUAAUACCCUCGAGGAAGGACAUCACCCACAGAAGAAGCACCGGCUAACUCCGUGCCAGCAGCCGCGGUAAUACGGAGGGUGCGAGCGUUAAUCGGAAUUACUGGGUGUAAAGCGCGCGUAGGCGGUCUGAUAAGCCGGUUGUGAAAGCCCCGGGCUCAACCUGGGAACGGCAUCCGGAACUGUCAGGCUAGAGUGCAGGAGAGGAAGGUAGAAUUCCCGGUGUAGCGGUGAAAUGCGUAGAGAUCGGGAGGAAUACCAGUGGCGAAGGCGGCCUUCUGGACUGACACUGACGCUGAGGUGCGAAAGCGUGGGUAGCAAACAGGAUUAGAUACCCGUGUAGUC